UUGAGCAUCUAAAUAAUCAAAUUAGGAAUAAAUUAUUGAAAAGUAUCAGUUGUAUUUUAUUUACUGAGUAUGUCAGGACUCCCUGGUUGACCUGGUUUUCUAAAAACUGUCCAGGCAUUGAUCAGGUUCUGGUCGUUAAUGAGACAAACUGGAAAAAAAGGGGGGAUUUGUGGCUUUUUAAGGUUUUAUGUUUGUUUUAACCAUUUCAUCUCUGACUGAGCCUUAAAAUCCAUGUAAGCUUCCUGUUCGGUUCAAAGGCAGGUCAGGAGGCCGCACCCUCUAACCCCCACGACCCCUCUAAAGCUCCUGUUGAUUCCUGUUGUGUCAAAUGUUUCGUUGUGAGGACGUUCAACUUUUUGGACCUGUUCACCCCUCCAAAAUGAAAUUAAUUUAAUGAAAGACAUUUAUUAUUUGUCAAAACAUCAUGUUUUCCUGUACGCUGAUGAUAAUCUGCUCUAUUUAUCCUAUGUCUGUGUUUAUCAAGGCCUUGGUGGAUUAGGGCACACAUUUACAAGAUGUAAAAGCUAUUUUUUUAAUUCACAGAGUUAAAUGAAACUAACCUGGUUUUACAAAAAUGUGCCAGGAUAUAGGUUUAUGAACACUAACCUGGCAAGAAAAAACAUCAAGUUUAAACUAAAGCAUAAAAAACAAAGGCAAAAAGAGGAGCAGCCAAUUAAGAAAGAACACAUACAGUUAUACUAAAGUAAAGCCAAGGACUCGUAUGAGAAGGAGAGGAGCCAGAACACAAACUAUUUUUUUUAAAAAAGCCCCUCAAACCUAACAAAAUCAGACAAAAAAUAUAUAUAAUAAUAAUAUUUAUAUAUUUUAAUAAGUAUAUUUCAACAACUAACAAAACGAACAACUAAAAGAAUAAAAAUCUGACAUGAUACAUAUCUGUUUGUAUGUAUAUAUAUGUGUGUGUGUGUGUGUGUGUGUGUAUGUAAAUGUGUGUUUUUUUAAAACAUUGGGAUUUGCAAAAGUGACAAAAUGUAAUAAAUCGUGAGUCACAAAAAAUAAUUCUUCCAUUAUCAUUAAUUAAUACUUUUAAUUUUAGUUAAAUUAAGUUUACAAAUUCUUCAUUUUUGUCUGUAAAACUUUUUUUUCCCCCGAAAUUCCUUUUGCCUACCACAAAAAAAUCUCUAGAAACAUUUCAGUAAAAAAUAAAAAUAAAACAAAUAGAUGCUUUCUUAUUUUUCGCAUUUGUGAAUAAUGCAGCACUUUGUGCCGUUUUCAAAAUGUCCCGGUGAUGUAAAACAAAAAAUAAAAAAAGUAAAUAAUUUGGGUUUUUACCAGGGUAGAAUUCUUUAUCUUAACAUAUUUUAAAUUUCAGAACAUUUUCUAUUCAUUUUUCUUUUUUACUUGAGAAUGUUACCUGACUGAGCGCGCUCUGACUACCAUCUCCUGCUGUCUCCAGUCCACUCUCUCAUAGCGCUCUUCUGCAUUUGGUCACUAAUGUCGGGAUUUAGCAGAAUUAAGAACCUGUUGAAGCUUGUUGAUGAGUCUGUUACUGCAGUUUACUAUGAUACCUUUUAUCAUGCAUGAUGUAUCAUAGCCGUAUUGUCCAAAUGAAUCUGAGCCAUGAGGGCUGUGAAUGCCUCUCUGUGGCAGUAAUCCACCUGCAUGGGGGCAGGUCACCUGUCUGCCAGGUGAAGUCCUGCUUAGAUUACAGCAGCAUGUGUACUUAUCCGCUUUGAAUUUUAAAGCAGCAUAAAUUAAAAAAAAAAAAAAA
This is a long non-coding RNA of Oryzias melastigma (Indian medaka), 1729 nucleotides long. RefSeq lists it as uncharacterized. The transcript is spliced from 2 exons. The record is from RefSeq and is a predicted model, not a curated record. Lineage: Eukaryota; Metazoa; Chordata; Actinopteri; Beloniformes; Adrianichthyidae.